This is a non-coding RNA of Macaca mulatta (Rhesus monkey), 465 nucleotides long. The record is from RefSeq and is a predicted model, not a curated record. Lineage: Eukaryota; Metazoa; Chordata; Mammalia; Primates; Cercopithecidae.
UGAAACAGUCACCCUGCAAGGAGGUGCUGAUUCUCCAAAUACCCUAUCUCUACCUGUGCCUUCACUCCUAGAACUAGAAUCAGAUGCUAAUGCACUCCAAGAGGAUAUGGACAAGAUCUGAUUGAGGGGAGACGCUUUAGACAACAAAAGAGCAACAGAAAGCAAGAAACAGGCAUGACGUUACAUUGUCCUCCUUGUGAUUUUUCAAGAAUGCCAGAAUGAUGACUGGCCAUGGAGGAGGAGUGGAACUGGCAAGGACACUGAGAGGCAGCAGCUAAUAGGGAAACAAGGAGACGUGGAAUCCUACAAGCCAAGUGAAAAAAAAAACCUUUUUCUGGGAGGAAAGCGUAAUCCACUAUAUCAAAUGCUGCUUAACAAAUGCUUGUUGAAUGAAUACUGGGAGACAGAUGAAGGCCCCAGUGUUCCUCUCCCUGAUGCUAUUCCUCUUCCUCUUCUCAGCAGAGA